RNAcentral lists this ribosomal RNA (460 nucleotides) under uncultured bacterium. RNAcentral's name for it is "partial 16S ribosomal RNA". It matches the Rfam family "Bacterial small subunit ribosomal RNA", at positions 339 to 795 of the family's 1533-position model. The record is from RNAcentral.
CUACGGGAGGCUGCAGUGAGGAAUAUUGCGCAAUGGGCGAGAGCCUGACGCAGCAACGCCGCGUGAGCGAUGAAGCCCUUCGGGGUGUAAAGCUCUGUUAGGAGGAAAGAAUGGGCAGGGUAUAACCCUGUCUUGACGGUACCUCCAGAGGAAGCACCGGCUAACUCCGUGCCAGCAGCCGCGGUAAUACGGAGGGUGCAAGCGUUGUCCGGAUUUAUUGGGAGUAAAGGGUGUGUAGGCGGAACGAUAAGUCGGAAGUGAAAUCUGUACCGCUCAACGGACAGAAGCCUUUCGAUACUGUCGUUCUAGAGUGUAGGAGAGGGUGAUGGAAUUCCUGGUGUAGCGGUGGAAUGCGUAGAUAUCAGGAAGAACACCGGUGGCGAAGGCGGUCAUCUGGCCUAUUACUGACGCUGAAACACGAAAGCGUGGGGAGCAAACAGGGUUAGAUACCCCGGUAGUC